This 497-nucleotide ribosomal RNA is filed under the name uncultured bacterium. Its description in RNAcentral is "partial 16S ribosomal RNA". It matches the Rfam family "Bacterial small subunit ribosomal RNA", at positions 28 to 507 of the family's 1533-position model. The record is from RNAcentral.
GAUGAACGCUGGCGGCGUGCCUAAUACAUGCAAGUCGAGCGAACAGACGAGGAGCUUGCUCCUCUGACGUUAGCGGCGGACGGGUGAGUAACACGUGGAUAACCUACCUAUAAGACUGGGAUAACUUCGGGAAACCGGAGCUAAUACCGGAUAAUAUAUUGAACCGCAUGGUUCAAUAGUGAAAGACGGUUUUGCUGUCACUUAUAGAUGGAUCCGCGCCGCAUUAGCUAGUUGGUAAGGUAACGGCUUACCAAGGCAACGAUGCGUAGCCGACCUGAGAGGGUGAUCGGCCACACUGGAACUGAGACACGGUCCAGACUCCGACGGGAGGCAGCAGUAGGGAAUCUUCCGCAAUGGGCGAAAGCCUGACGGAGCAACGACGCGUGAGUGAUGAAGGUCUUCGGAUCGUAAAACUCUGUUAUUAGGGAAGAACAAAUGUGUAAGUAACUAUGCACGUCUUGACGGUACCUAAUCAGAAAGCCACGGCUAACUACGUG